GACGUAGGAGGCGAGCGUUAUCCGGAUUCACUGGGCGUAAAGCGCAUGUAGGCGGAUGUCUAAGUCGUGUGUUAAAGCCCCUGGCUCAACUGGGGAGGGUCACGCGAUACUGAUCGACUCGAAGGCAGGAGAGGGUAGUGGAAUUCCCGGUGUAGUGGUGAAAUGCGUAGAUAUCAGGAGGAACACCAAUGGCGAAGGCAGCUCGCUGGGACGGUACUGACGCUGAGACGCGAAAGCGUGGGGAGCAAACAGG
RNAcentral lists this ribosomal RNA (253 nucleotides) under uncultured bacterium. RNAcentral describes it as "partial 16S ribosomal RNA". It matches the Rfam family "Bacterial small subunit ribosomal RNA", at positions 524 to 776 of the family's 1533-position model. The record is from RNAcentral.